This is a non-coding RNA of Theobroma cacao (cacao), 1885 nucleotides long. NCBI's taxonomy places the organism in Eukaryota, Viridiplantae, Streptophyta, Magnoliopsida, Malvales, Malvaceae. The record is from RefSeq and is a predicted model, not a curated record.
GUUAUUUCCAUGAAAUUACGAGAAAGAAGACCAAAGUUUUAAACUACUUCGUUCCAUGAAAGCUGUAUCUUUUUGUUCCACCUUUUCUAACUUGUAAUGUUUUCUUUUCACUACAAUUGAUUGACUCAAAAAACACCCAAGUUUUCUUGUAAGUAUGAAAGCUUUACCUUUUUAUUUCGCUUUUUAGGGUUUCCUUGUUGACUUUAAUCGACUGACAAAAAGGUCAGCGAUCAUGAAGACAAGCGCCUUACAAAGAAUCGCAAUCCUGAUCUGGUAGAGAUAAUCCCUCCUCAUUUCCUUCACAACCACAACUACUUUCUCUUUCAACAAGCUAGUUAUUAUAAUUAUUAGUUCAAACGCUUCCAGUUCUCUGCCUAUCGCGUUUCUCGUCUCGCUAUGAUUACCGGAUGGAGGGGAGCCGCUCUAGCAGGAAAUAUCGAGGCACUCUACGCAUCAAUUCAAGAAGAUGGAGAUGUUUUGAAGCGCGUUGAUGAGGUGGAGUUUGUUGACACUCCCUUACACAUAGCUGCAGCUGCAGGGCACACCGAUUUUGUGAUGGAGAUGAUGAACUUAAAGCCAUCAUUUGCUAAGAAGUUGAACCAACAUGGUUUUAGCGCCCUUCACCUGGCCUUGCAAAACGGGCAUAAAGAGACGGUGCUUCAACUCCUGGAAAUCAAUAAAGAUCUUGUUCGUGUCAAAGGGAAGAAUGGCUACACUCCUUUGCAUUAUGUAACUAGAGAAGGAAACCUUGAUCUUUUGGCUAAAUUUUUGGAGGAUUGUCCUGAAUGUGUCUUUGACGUGACAAUUCACAGCUAGACUGCUUUUCACAUUGCUGUUGAAAACGAUAGAUUAGCUGCUCUUCAUGUCUUAUCCAAGAUGCUGAAGAAGACUGAUUGUUGUCAAGGAGUGGUGAACCGGAAAGAUAAGGAUGGCAACACUGCCUUACACAGAGCUGCGGCCAAGAAUUACCCCCAGGUCAUCAAAUCUCAUUGACCCGCUCUAAUUAAUUUUACUUUUGGUAAAAAGAAAUGGAUCCUUUUUUGGUUGUAUUUUGCGGUCAUUAACCGAUAGAAGUUUUUGUCUUGAUUAAACCUAGAUGCUCAAACUGCUAUUAGCAUGCAAGGCUGAUAAAAAUGUGACCAAUCAAGCUGGUUUAACGGCUCUGGAUGUUGCACGGGGCCAGAGGCAUCAACAGAGAUUUUUCAGGAUAUGGAUGGCAUUUCAAGCGACGACCGCAACGCUUUAUUAGUAAUAUUGGGAUUGCUACUAACAGCAACCUACCAAGCAAUUCUUAGCCCGCCCGGUGGCGUUUGGCAGGGUGCAGGUACGGAAACUCGUUUAAGCUCGCCUAGCGUUGUUUGGCAGGUUGGAGCUCCAACCUCCACUCCCACUCCAUUCCAUCCUAGAAAAAGUAGAAAUAUCGUAGGAACAUCAAUCAUGGAUCCAGUUGAAUUUCUUGUUUUCUAUCUUACAAUCUGUGCAGUGUUUAUCGUAGCGUUUUUCUUAACAUUGGGCCUCCUUAAACCUUUUCCCCGAGGUUUCAAGACUGCUCUUCAGGAUUUGAUAUCUCAACCCUCAAGCCCACCUUCCAUUUUAGGAUGACAAAUAUCAGACAUGAAGAACAAAUAAGUCCAGAGGAAGUCAUAUAUGGCAAAAUACCAAGAGAAGGAACUGAAGUUGGAAGCAACAAGGGAAGAAUUCGUGACUCAAAGGAACAGAAGCCAUAGCAUAACAAAUGAUGCUCUAAACGCACCGUUUCACUUAAACACAGCACCAUGGCAGCAUAUCAUAUGUGUGAGAAACACACCGUUUCAGUAAUUGGUGCUUUUCAAAUUUUAGUUUAGAGAGGUUUAUUAGAUUAGAGUAUUUUUAUGUAUUUGGAGAA